CAGCCGCCGCGGGAAUACGAAGGGUGCAAGCGUUACUCGGAAUUACUGGGCGUAAAGCGUGUGUAGGUGGUUGUUUAAGUCUGUCGUGAAAGCCCUGGGCUCAACCUGGGAAUUGCGAUGGAUACUGGGCGACUAGAGUGCGGUAGAGGAUAGUGGAAUUUCCGGUGUAGCAGUGAAAUGCGUAGAGAUCGGAAGGAACAUCUGUGGCGAAGGCAGCCCCCUGGGCCAAUACUGACGCUCAUGCACGAAAGCGUGGGGAGCAAACAGGAUUAGAUACCCCGGUAGUCCCUGUCUCUUAUAC
RNAcentral lists this ribosomal RNA (301 nucleotides) under uncultured bacterium. RNAcentral's name for it is "partial 16S ribosomal RNA". It matches the Rfam family "Bacterial small subunit ribosomal RNA", at positions 509 to 807 of the family's 1533-position model. The record is from RNAcentral.